Molecule: ribosomal RNA, 428 nt
Filed under: Acidobacteriota bacterium
Lineage: Bacteria; Pseudomonadati; Acidobacteriota
Description: Acidobacteria bacterium partial 16S ribosomal RNA
Rfam family: Bacterial small subunit ribosomal RNA
Source: RNAcentral
UAGGGAAUCUUCCGCAAUGGGCGAAAGCCUGACGGAGCAACGCCGCGUGAGUGAAGAAGGUCUUCGGAUCGUAAAACUCUGUUAUUAGGGAAGAACAAAUGUGUAAGUAACUAUGCACGUCUUGACGGUACCUAAUCAGAAAGCCACGGCUAACUACGUGCCAGCAGCCGCGGUAAUACGUAGGUGGCAAGCGUUAUCCGGAAUUAUUGGGCGUAAAGCGCGCGUAGGCGGUUUUUUAAGUCUGAUGUGAUAGCCACGGCUCAACCGUGGAGGGUCAUUAGAAACUGGAAAACUUGAGUGCAGAAGAGGAAAGUGGAAUUCCAUGUGUAGCGGUGAAAUGCGCAGAGAUAUGGAGGAACACCAGUGGCGAAGGCGACUUUCUGGUCUGUAACUGACGCUCAUGCACGAAAGCGUGGGGAGCAAACAGG